RNAcentral lists this unclassified non-coding RNA (345 nucleotides) under Hevea brasiliensis (rubber tree). The record is from RNAcentral. Lineage: Eukaryota; Viridiplantae; Streptophyta; Magnoliopsida; Malpighiales; Euphorbiaceae.
AUACAGUGAUCCACGAUGAACCUGCAGGUUAUCAAAGGAAACCAUUCAAGGAUUUGGCAUUAAUACAGCUCCUGUUCUCAAUUCUAACAAGUGACUCCAAUAUGUACAAAAUUUUAUCCACCUUUUUAAUUUGUGAAAUGGAUUGAUCAUAAACAAGGCAGCUACAGAGCUAACUGAAGAAUGUAAGAACCUUUCAAUAAGACAUCACUUAAAGAAGAGAUUGAGAAGCAAAAUGUUUAAACGACAGUUUAUUGUCGGAUUAUAGUUCAUAAAUUAGUUGCCCAAAUCACAUUCUUAAGUAGACAUCCAUUAUUAUGGCUCGUACAUGUGGGGCUUUAAAUUAAA